CCAUAAUUUACUUGAUGUUGAUAUUCCACGUGGAUAACUGUGGUAAUUCUAGAGCUAAUACAUGCACCAAAGCUCCGAUCUCAUGACGAGCGCAUCUAUUAGACCAAAAACCAAUCGAGAAUAUUCGCCUCAAAACGAAUGCCUCGUAAAUUUGGUGACUCUGAAUAGCUUAGCUGAUCGCAUGGUCUCGCACCGGCGACGUAUCUAUCAAGUGUCUGCCUUAUCAACUUUCGAUGGUAGUUUAUAUGCCUACCAUGGUUGUAACGGGUAACGGAGAAUAAGGGUUCGACUCCGGAGAGGGAGCCUGAGAAACGGCUACCACAUCCAAGGAAGGCAGCAGGCGCGCAAAUUACCCACUCUCAGCACGAGGAGGUAGUGACGAAAAAUAACGAGACCGUUCUCUUCGAGGCCGGUUAUCGGAAUGAGUACAAUUUAAAGCCGUUAACGAGGAUCUAUGAGAGGGCAAGUCUGGUGCCAGCAGCCGCGGUAAUUCCAGCUCUCAAAGUGUAUAUCGUCAUUGCUGCGGUUAAAAAGCUCGUAGUUGGAUUUAAGCUCGAUGACUCGGUCCAUCCAUAGGAUGAGAACUGAGCUCAUCGGCUAUCAUCGGCUGGUUUUGUCUAGGUGGCUUUAAACGGUUGCCUAGGCUGGCUAGCAAGUUUACUUUGAAAAAAUUAGAGUGCUCAACGCGGGCUUAAUGCCUGAAUAGUCGUGCAUGGAAUAAUGGAAUAGGAUUUCGGUUCUAUUUUGUUGGUUUUUUUAACCGAAAUAAUGGUUAAGAGGGACAGACGGGGGCAUUCGUAUCGCUACGUGAGAGGUGAAAUUCUUGGACCGUAGCGAGACGCCCGACUGCGAAAGCAUUUGCCAAGAAUGUCUCAUAAUCAAGAUCGAAGACG
This 893-nucleotide ribosomal RNA is filed under the name Nematoda gen. n. sp. i SKM-2023. Its description in RNAcentral is "SSU rRNA". It matches the Rfam family "Eukaryotic small subunit ribosomal RNA", at positions 110 to 991 of the family's 1831-position model. Lineage: Eukaryota; Metazoa; Nematoda. The record is from RNAcentral.